CACCGGCAGCUCAAGUGGUAGCCGCUUUUAUUGGGCCUAAAGCGUCCGUAGCCGGUCUGAUAAGUCUCUGGUGAAAUCCCACAGCUUAACUGUGGGAAUUGCUGGAGAUACUAUCAUGACUCGAGGUCGGGAGAGGCUGGAGGUACUCCCAGGGUAGGGGUGAAAUCCUGUAAUCCUGGGAGGACCACCUGUGGCGAAGGCGUCCAGCUGGAACGAACCUGACACCGAGGCUCGAAAGCAUGGGGAGCAA
Molecule: ribosomal RNA, 250 nt
Filed under: uncultured Methanothermobacter sp.
Lineage: Archaea; Methanobacteriati; Methanobacteriota; Methanobacteria; Methanobacteriales; Methanobacteriaceae
Description: partial 16S ribosomal RNA
Rfam family: Archaeal small subunit ribosomal RNA
Source: RNAcentral